ACUCAAAUGAAUUGACGGGGUCUCGCACAAGCGGUGGAGCGUGUUGUUUAAUUCGAUGGUAAACGUAGAACCUUACCAAGGUUUGACAUCCUGGGAAGGUCUCCGAAAGGAGACUGUGCCUUCGGGAAUCCAGUGACAGGUGUUGCAUGGCCGUCUUCAGCUCGUGUCGUGAGAUGUUAGGUUAAGUCCUUCAACGAGCGCAACCCUUUUAGUUAGUUGAAUUUCUCUAGCUAGACUGCCCUGGUAACAGGGAGGAAGGAGGGGAUGAUGUCAGGUCAGUAUUACCCUUACACCUUGGGCCACAAACACGCUACAAUGGCCGGUACAAAGGGCUGCCAAGCAGCAAUGCGGAGCAAAUCCCAUCAAAGCCGGUCCCAGUUCGGAUUGUAGGCUGAAACUCGCCUGCAUGAAGCCGGAAUCGCUAGUAACGGUAGGUCAGCUAUACUACCGUGAAUACGUUCCCGAGACUUGUACACACCGCCCGU
Molecule: ribosomal RNA, 485 nt
Filed under: uncultured bacterium
Lineage: Bacteria
Description: partial 16S ribosomal RNA
Rfam family: Bacterial small subunit ribosomal RNA
Source: RNAcentral